GUUAACCGUAUAGGGGAGCCGAAGGGAAACCGAGUCUUAACCGGGCGUUAAGUUGCAGGGUAUAGACCCGAAACCCGGUGAUCUAGCCAUGGGCAGGUUGAAGGUUGGGUAACACUAACUGGAGGACCGAACCGACUAAUGUUGAAAAAUUAGCGGAUGACCUGUGGCUGGGGGUGAAAGGCCAAUCAAACCGGGAGAUAGCUGGUUCUCCCCGAAAGCUAUUUAGGUAGCGCCUCGUGAACUCAUCUCCGGGGGUAGAGCACUGUUUCGGCUAGGGGGCCAUCCCGGCUUACCAACCCGAUGCAAACUGCGAAUACCGGAGAAUGUUAUCACGGGAGACACACGGCGGGUGCUAACGUCCGUCGUGAAGAGGGAAACAACCCAGACCGCCAGCUAAGGUCCCAAAGUCAUGGUUAAGUGGGAAACGAUGUGGGAAGGCCCAGACAGCCAGGAUGUUGGCUUAGAAGCAGCCAUCAUUUAAAGAAAGCGUAAUAGCUCACUGGUCGAGUCGGCCUGCGCGGAAGAUGUAACGGGGCUAAACCAUG
RNAcentral lists this ribosomal RNA (545 nucleotides) under Cronobacter sakazakii. RNAcentral's name for it is "partial 23S ribosomal RNA". It matches the Rfam family "Bacterial large subunit ribosomal RNA", at positions 645 to 1191 of the family's 2925-position model. The record is from RNAcentral. Lineage: Bacteria; Pseudomonadati; Pseudomonadota; Gammaproteobacteria; Enterobacterales; Enterobacteriaceae.